This 1412-nucleotide long non-coding RNA is filed under the name Solanum tuberosum (potato). RNAcentral describes it as "long non-coding RNA (STUB_LNC007313)". The record is from RNAcentral. Lineage: Eukaryota; Viridiplantae; Streptophyta; Magnoliopsida; Solanales; Solanaceae.
UCAACUCCAAAAGAAAUUAAAUCAUGCAACAUAUUAGGUUAAUAGGUGAUAAACUUUCCUUUUACAGAAUAAUCAAUUGAAUUCUGGCUUUGCAAAAUGCAUAUUUCUAUAACAAUAUUUCCAUCUACUGAAGGAAAGCAUGUGUCUCUUCUACUUUCGGAGUAGCUGCACACUCUCUGGCCGAUCUCUCUUCUUUAUAUGAUCUCUCCACAUCCCGUAGGUAAUUGGUCAAGCCUUCUCUAUGUUUCACCUUGUUUUGUAAAUUUGAGGAAUCAUUUUUCCACCCGAUUGGAAGGAUUAACCGCAUGUUUCACCGUACUAUAUUCUGGUAUAAUAAGGUAGUAGAGUAUAGCAUACUAUAAUGAUAUCAAAUACAAGACCAGUUAAGGAAUUGUAAUAGUACAAAAUAUGGGCAAGAUACAAGUACAUUAAAAAAAAAUAUCAGCAAGGUAGAACAAGAUUUUUUUUUUUCUCUAUGCAACCUAUAAAGGAGAGAUAUUGUUAAUUUAAUGAAAGAAAUAGCUAUGGGAAGACAUAAAGUGAGGGUUGGAGACAUUAACUUUUUUCUGAAAAUUAUAUGUAAGCUAAAAGAAUUCACAUUGUUGAUCCCAGUUAUCAAUAACCAAGCUGCAGGUAGCAUUUUUAACCAGCCCCCUCUUUGUAUAUCUCUUUCAUUUGGCUUUUCCAACAGUAGAUACUUGCUAAGAUUCCAAGACAUUCCAAAAUGGAGUGGUCGAUAUUGAAGAACCUAAUUGUUUACAACUUCACUCUUGCUAAGAAGUCUAUUCAGGUGUAAACCAAUGUAGUAAAAUAGAAACUUUUUUUCUAUAGAAGAGGAGAAGAGGAAGGUGAAACAAAAGUAUAUAAUUUUAUCAAACACAUUUACAUGAUCAAUAUGGAUGCAUAGGCUCAUAUUUUACAAAACAUAGAGAAAAUGAACCAUCUGUUUUCUCGAUGGAAGCAUAUCUGGUGGUGUAAAAAUCAAAUACUCAGUAAGUAGUAUAGUGAAGAGUUGCCCAUAAACGUAGAGAUUAUAGGGGUAUAAUUCUAACCUUUUCUGGAAAUAAAUCAAGAGCCGCCAACAAUAACAUUCUCCUGAAUUCUAGAUGAUGGCUCAACCGGAUCCAUAGAACUUGUGCUCAAACGAAGGUGGUUACUUGUUAUUUCUUGCUUUUUGAGGCGCUUUCAGUCAUGUCGCUUUUUAUAUUUAACAACUCUUAUGCCCAACAUUCUACAUGACAUAUUUCAUAUAAUAAGAUUCAGAGGACAUGUUGGUAUAUUAUACACCUUUUUAGUUUAUAACCACAAGAUUUAAAAAUUCUUGUCAAGUCAAAACUAAGACAAACAAAUUAUAAUGGAGGCAACAUAUUUAAGAAAUUUAAAAAGAGAUGAGUAAAGAGAAAGUACUAUAC